AUUGAACGCUGGCGGCAUGCUUUACACAUGCAAGUCGAACGGCAGCGCGGGGGCAACCCUGGCGGCGAGUGGCGAACGGGUGAGUAAUGUAUCGGAACGUAUCCUGUAAUGGGGGAUAACCAGUCGAAAGAUUGGGUAAUACCGCAUACGCACGAGAGUGGAAAGUAGGGGAUCGCAAGACCUUACGUUAUAGGAGCGGCCGAUAUCUGAUUAGCUAGUUGGUGGGGUAAAGGCCUACCAAGGCGACGAUCAGUAGCUGGUCUGAGAGGACGACCAGCCACACUGGGACUGAGACACGGCCCAGACUCCUACGGGAGGCAGCAGUGGGGAAUUUUGGACAAUGGGCGAAAGCCUGAUCCAGCCAUGCCGCGUGCAGGAAGAAGGCCUUCGGGUUGUAAACUGCUUUAGUCUAGGAAAAAGGGGUGCGAGGUUAAUACCCUCGUGCUUUGAUGGUACUGGAAGAAUAAGCACCGGCUAACUACGUGCCAGCAGCCCGGUAAAGCUACGUAGA
This 511-nucleotide ribosomal RNA is filed under the name uncultured bacterium. RNAcentral describes it as "bacterial SSU rRNA". It matches the Rfam family "Bacterial small subunit ribosomal RNA", at positions 30 to 531 of the family's 1533-position model. The record is from RNAcentral.